GACGAACGCUGGCGGCGUGCUUAACACAUGCAAGUCGAACGGAAAGGCCCUGCUUUUGUGGGGUGCUCGAGUGGCGAACGGGUGAGUAACACGUGAGUAACCUGCCCUUAACUUUGGGAUAACUCCAGGAAACUGGGGCUAAUACCGGAUAGGAGCUCCUGCUGCAUGGGGGGGGUUGGAAAGUUUCGGCGGUUGGGGCUGGACUCGCGGCUUAUCAGCUUGUUGGUGGGGUAGGGGCUGACCAAGGGUGUGACGGGUAGCCGGCCUGAGAGGUUGACCGGCGACAUUGGGACUGAGAGACGGCCCAGACUCGUACGGGAGGCAGCAGUGGGGAAUCUUGCAGAAUGGGCGGAAGCCUGAGGCGGCAACGCCGCGUGCGGGAUGACGGGCUUCGGGUUGUAAACCGAUUUCGCCUGUGACGAAGCGUGAGUGACGGUAAUGGGUAAAAAAGCACCGGCUAACUACGUG
This 468-nucleotide ribosomal RNA is filed under the name uncultured bacterium. Its description in RNAcentral is "partial 16S ribosomal RNA". It matches the Rfam family "Bacterial small subunit ribosomal RNA", at positions 28 to 507 of the family's 1533-position model. The record is from RNAcentral.